RNAcentral lists this microRNA (23 nucleotides) under Zea mays. RNAcentral's name for it is "zma-miR167b-3p". Its record names the gene zma-miR167b-3p. Lineage: Eukaryota; Viridiplantae; Streptophyta; Magnoliopsida; Poales; Poaceae. The record is from miRBase by way of RNAcentral.
GAUCAUGCUGUGACAGUUUCACU